RNAcentral lists this unclassified non-coding RNA (168 nucleotides) under uncultured Ascomycota. RNAcentral's name for it is "sequence contains ITS2". Lineage: Eukaryota; Fungi; Ascomycota. The record is from RNAcentral.
CAACCCUCAAGCUUUUGCUUGGUAUUGGGCUUCAUCCUGCUUUUAAAAAAGGAUGUGCCUAAAACUCAUAGGCGGUUGCAUUUAGCUCCCUUGCGUAGUUAUUAUUUUUUCUCGCUUUGGAAGUCUAGGCACAACCCGCCUGAGAACACCCCCCCAUAUUUUCUCAAG